RNAcentral lists this ribosomal RNA (468 nucleotides) under uncultured bacterium. RNAcentral describes it as "partial 16S ribosomal RNA". It matches the Rfam family "Bacterial small subunit ribosomal RNA", at positions 28 to 507 of the family's 1533-position model. The record is from RNAcentral.
GACGAACGCUGGCGGCGUGCUUAACACAUGCAAGUCGAACGGAAAGGCCCUGCUUUUGUGGGUUGCUCGAGUGGCGAACGGGUGAGUAACACGUGAGUAACCUGCCCUUGACUUUGGGAUAACUUCAGGAAACUGGGGCUAAUACCGGAUAGGAGCUCCUGCUGCAUGGUGGGGGUUGGAAAGUUUCGGCGGUUGGGGAUGGACUCGCGGCUUAUCAGCUUGUUGGUGGGGUAGUGGCUUACCAAGGCUUUGACGGGUAGCCGGCCUGAGAGGGUGACCGGCCACAUUGGGACUGAGAUACGGCCCAGACUCCUACGGGAGGCAGCAGUGGGGAAUAUUGCACAAGGGGCGGAAGCCGGAUGCAGCAACGCGGCGUGCGGGAUGACGGCCUUCGGGUUGUAAACCGCUUUCGCCUGUGCCGAAGCGUGAGUGACGGUAAUGGGUAAAGAAGCACCGGCUAACUACGUG